AUAUAUUAAAGUCAAAUGUUAUUCUUCAUAUUAAUUUUUUUGAAUGUUUUUAAAUUUUAUAAUAGUUGAUUGUAUUUAAAUAUUUAAAUCAAAUUUUAGGAAUAGUUAAUAUUAAUUUAUAAUUUUGAUUAGAUUAUUUUGUUUAUGCUAUAAAAGAGGUGUGGAAAAAGUGAAAAAUAAAAAAAAUAAAAAAUAAAAAAUAAACUUAACCUAUCUGUCAGAAAUGGAUGCCAGCCGUUGCGGUAAUUUCUAUGCUUUUAAAUAUUAUACAGUUAUUUUAUUGUUUUGUUAAUUACUAUUUUCAUCAAAAAAAAUUUAUAAUACUUUAUUUGUUUUUAAACACCUUUUUGGUAUAUGCAAAUAGAAAAUUACAGUAAUUAUUAAUUAAAUUAUAUUAUAUUUAUUCACAUAAUUAUAAAUUUAGAAUUAUUAUAUUUUGACACCAUGAUAAGGACAAUGAAUGGAAUUGUAAAUUUUAUAAUCAAAAUUAAUUAAUUAUAUUAAUUUAGUAAAUUUAGAUAAAAAAAUAAAUUCAAAAGGUAUUGUUGCCCACCAAUUUUUAUAAUAAAAAUAACGUGCAGUAAUUAAUAUAUUUAUAAAGAUAUAUUUUUUCAUAUU
This 618-nucleotide ribosomal RNA is filed under the name Strigomonas culicis. RNAcentral describes it as "Trypanosomatid mitochondrial small subunit ribosomal RNA". It matches the Rfam family "Trypanosomatid mitochondrial small subunit ribosomal RNA". Lineage: Eukaryota; Euglenozoa; Kinetoplastea; Trypanosomatida; Trypanosomatidae. The record is from Rfam by way of RNAcentral.